This 266-nucleotide ribosomal RNA is filed under the name uncultured bacterium. RNAcentral describes it as "partial 16S ribosomal RNA". It matches the Rfam family "Bacterial small subunit ribosomal RNA", at positions 793 to 1055 of the family's 1533-position model. The record is from RNAcentral.
GUCCUAGCCGUAAACGAUGGACACUGAGUGGAGGAGGGCUUGCCCUUCUCUGCUGCAGCUAACGCGUUAAGUGUCCCGCCUGGGGAGUACGGCCGCAAGGUUAAAACUCAAAGGAAUUGACGGGGGCUCGCACAAGCGGUGGAGCAUGUGGUUCAAUUCGAUGCAACGCGAAGAACCUUACCCGGGCUUGAAGUGUGGGUGGUAGAAACCAGAAACGGUAACGACCCCGCAAGGGGAGCCUACAUCAGGUGUUGCAUGGCUGUCGU